AAUGUUCUUAAAACCGCACCGGACCGGCCGGUCCGACCGGUUCAAACGGGAACCGGAAGCCAGUCCGGUCCGGUUAAGCAUGAAAACUCGGAUGCUCCAAAAAACCGGUCGGAAGGCGAAAGACCUGGAAAACCGUUGGUUGAACCGGAAUAUCCCGAACCGGAAAAAACCCGGGUUUCGUCACUAACUGAAAUUUUAAGACAAUUAAUUUAUAGAUCUGACUGAGUUUAAAAAAAAAUGUAUAUAGAUCUGAUUAGCAAGAUGAUAGAGGAAGAAGAAAAAGAGAAAAGACAGUCAAGUUUGCCGCUGAAAUAGACGAAGGGCUGUUGCUCCGAUCUGGAUAUAAGUUCUACAAUGGUGGAAGAAAGAAGAAGACGAGAUGGAGGAGGAAAAGAAAAAGAAUUU
RNAcentral lists this long non-coding RNA (405 nucleotides) under Erythranthe guttata (spotted monkey flower). RNAcentral describes it as "long non-coding RNA (EGUT_LNC003305)". The record is from RNAcentral. Lineage: Eukaryota; Viridiplantae; Streptophyta; Magnoliopsida; Lamiales; Phrymaceae.